Pezoporus flaviventris is the source of this 119-nucleotide small nuclear RNA. NCBI's taxonomy places the organism in Eukaryota, Metazoa, Chordata, Aves, Psittaciformes, Psittacidae. The record is from RefSeq and is a predicted model, not a curated record.
GUGUUGUAUGAAAGGAGAGAAGGUUAGCACUCCCCUUGAAGGAAAAGGCCCUCAUAGCCCGUACAACAUGCAUACGGUUUAGGCAUUGCCACCUACUUAGUGGCAUCUAACCAUGUUUU